CAGUAAGAGAUCCCACUAAUGAGAUGAAAAUCUUCAGAGUAAUUGAAAUGCAGCCAAUUGAUGUUGCUGCAUACUUGCAAUUAUUAGGUGAAAGUUUGACCAUGAUUAGUGAAAGGCUGAAGGAACAGAAUGGACAAAUCACUGUUUUGGGAAGUCUUUCAUUCAGAACGCAACAGGUUCCUGCCAUUGGAACUCAAAACACAAAUCAGUAUAUAUACCGAUAGCUUUUUCAAGAAAUGCUUAAUGAUGUCUGACCUACCGGUGAUGCAUUCACCUCCUGAAUAUGUACAAGCGCAUCAAUUUCACAAUCAAGGUCAAGUAGGUACUUUAAUCAUUAGUGUCUGACUUUUCAGACAAUGUAGCUUGGUGGUCAUUGAUAACUCUCAGAGUUCUAACACAAAGCCUAAAAAGAAGUGCUGAUGACAAGUGCGUAAAGGAAUUUCUGAACGCAUUAGAAAGUGAAUGUACAGAUGAUGUAAAUUUUUUAAAGCAAAAGCCUCGGCUCAAAAGUAUUCUUUCUUCAGAACAACAAGGCUAGAUGCCAAUUGCUUCUUUCGAGCUUAUAGCACGUAAGCGAGUAAAGGUAAUUUAGUUCAGCUGGAAGACAACUCCAGAGAGAAGCUGACUUAUCAACAUUUCAUAGAAGGUGAUCAUACUGUUAAGGAAUCUUGCAAUCAGAAGGUAGAGUAUUUCAAGAGAUCAAAGAGUCUGAUCACAUUCACAUUAUUGCUACGAGUACUGCGUUGAAUCCUGGAAUAUAGGUAAGAUACACGGAUCGAGGUGCUGGCACUGAAGUAACAGCUCAUGACUUCCCAGAAGGCCCAAUCAACACGGACUAUAUAAUUUUGGAGCAAAUCAGCAGAAAGAUGAAAUCUCCAUGAUUCCGUGACUAGUCAGUAACACCUAUUAAAAUAGUUAGUUGCUUCCUCUUGGCUUGGAAGUUUACUUUGUAAUGACUUAUAAUUUGUUAAACAGCAUGCUAAGUAGUGGCCAAUUCCGUUGGAAUCUAAUGGAGGAACAUAUUUUGCUACACCGCAUAACAUAAAGGUUUCAUCUUUUAUUGACAUUCUUUGUAGUAUGUCAUUCAAAUCAGUAUCGAAGUUUUCUGCAUCUAUUUUUAAUUCGUCCUGUGCAUAUGUGGAUUUUCUGUAUACUUCAUCAGUAUCAAUCCAUAGAUACUGUUCCGUCGAGACCCGAGGAGAAGAAUUCCGCCGUGAAAACGGCAUCGAGCGAACUCCGCGAGGUCGACGUAGAGCCCGUGGCGCCAUCUCCCGUGCUCGAGUUGAGUAAGCGACUUCGCAACUUGCUGCACUCGCCGACAGCGCCGCCGGCCUCGGGUGUGUUCCAGAGGGAACGCCAGCAGCGCUCUGGCUAACUUCAUGUCAGCCUCUAUUUGUCGACAGUGCUCUACAAGAACCUUAUCCUGCCUCAAUGUCAUGUGCAAUAAAGAACGCUUCAAUUCUCCAAAAUAUGUCUCUGACCGGGCUGAAGAUGAUACAUGAUGAGGAUUUUGAAAAUGUUCCUGCAUUACAUUUGUCCAACAGACAAAUUCUUUGGAUAAUUCAACCAGCCUGUCACCAAAAUUUGUUACAACCAAACAUGGGGAUUAUUUAGUCAUAAUGGGUGAAAAUCAAACAGAAGAUAAAUCCAGUAGUGUGCCUCAGUAUAUCAUCCAGUACAUCACUAAGGAAAGUGCAAUGUCCAUAACUCGGAGUACGACAAUUACUUGGGUGUGCUCAAAUCAAUCAUGGUAAAUAAUAAGAACCCGUUAGCAUUGAAGAAAUAACUGAGGAUAAACUAAGGAUAACUGUGAUAAAGAUUUGCAGAGGGUUUUGCCAUUUAUCUCAAUUCACAAUGAAGCCAUUAAAUUUGCACAUGACCCCUUCACAUCUUCAGGGCAAUCUAUCGGGAGCAAUGGUGGGUAGGAAAAGAAUUGGCUGGAUACUCUAAAACUGUUGGAAAUUUGACUGAAGUACUUGUAAGGAAUACUGGACACAUGGUGCCUGCGGAUCCGCCAAUGUGGGCUUGGGACUUAUAAUUACUCGUAUUACUCAUCACAAACCUUUUUAAUUAUUUUUGCAUAAAUUAAUUCUGUUAACGAUCACAUUUAAGAGAAUGAAAAAGAUUUAGGUGGAUGUUUAUAUACUUUGUAAGUUAAUAUGAUAGAAAAAUAGUUUGUGAUUAUAGAAUAAGGUAUUUGUACACGAUUUCAAAGUUAUUUAAUAAAAACAAUUGAUGAGAAUUUUAGAACUUAA
Molecule: RNA transcript, 2255 nt
Organism: Nasonia vitripennis (jewel wasp)
Lineage: Eukaryota; Metazoa; Arthropoda; Insecta; Hymenoptera; Pteromalidae
Exons: 7
Source: RefSeq, a predicted model, not a curated record